Hevea brasiliensis (rubber tree) is the source of this 465-nucleotide long non-coding RNA. RefSeq lists it as uncharacterized. Lineage: Eukaryota; Viridiplantae; Streptophyta; Magnoliopsida; Malpighiales; Euphorbiaceae. The record is from RefSeq and is a predicted model, not a curated record. The transcript is spliced from 2 exons.
UUUCUCCUUUUUGGCCUGUUGAUAGUAAAACAGAUAAAGAAAUGAAUUCUGGAAAAAUCUUUUAUACUGAACACAAGAUGCCGCAUUCAAGCCAAGGAAGAACACAAAAAGAUUGCCAAGGCAGCAAACAGCCAGACUCCCACAGACUUCUCAAGUACAAGGAAAAAUAGACGAGCAACAAGUAGGAAACCAUCAGGAAAAUAAAGCAAAUCGGUGGUGAAGAACAAGAGGGCCCUAAAAGACAGACGGAGAGAAGUUGCCAUACCUAUACUCCUGGCUUUCUUCAAAAAGUUGUUUGGAAUCAUCCCAACUAGAAGAUGCAGUUAUCUCCUGCAAGACAUCAUAACCCUAGUAGGCUCUAAUAGAGACAGAAGACAGGACUAUGGACAACAUUUCCUUACCUUGUAAGUAUACAAUAAUUUAGUGAAGUCAUCAGCAAGCCGUUGCCGCUUUUUAGCUUCUUUC